Molecule: long non-coding RNA, 419 nt
Filed under: Mytilus galloprovincialis (Mediterranean mussel)
Lineage: Eukaryota; Metazoa; Mollusca; Bivalvia; Mytilida; Mytilidae
Source: RNAcentral
UGAUCAUUUGUAUUUUUUCUAUGCAUUGACUUUGUGUGCGAUAAGUUCCCGUGUAUGUUUACCCCAUAUUCCUUUAUUUUCUGUCUGAACACGACUUAAUGCAAGUUUAACCCUUCAAUGUAAAAGGUCAUAUGGCAAUACAUUGUUGUUGUUUUUUUCAAAUGAUUUGGUACCGGGAAAUCGGUGGUCUUACUUAAUUUAAACCAUGUCAGCUAUGUAGUUUUGUCCACAUGCGCUUGGGUAUAUGAUACAUAUAUAUUUUUAUUUUUUGUUGUUGUUGAUCAAAAUAGUCAAUUUUCUAUAUUUAUAAUACAUAUGUAUCCCUUUUGUGCAUGUCUCAGAGAAAAUACCCAAUUUAACAAUCCAUACUAAGAAAAAUUGGGUAUUUUCUCUGAGUCGUUUAGAUCACUCGAAACUAG